UUUUAUGGAGAGUUUGAUCCUGGCUCAGGAUGAACGCUGGCGGCGUGCCUAAUACAUGCAAGUCGAGCGAACAGACGAGGAGCUUGCUCCUCUGACGUUAGCGGCGGACGGGUGAGUAACACGUGGAUAACCUACCUAUAAGACUGGGAUAACUUCGGGAAACCGGAGCUAAUACCGGAUAAUAUAUUGAACCGCAUGGUUCAAUAGUGAAAGACGGUUUUGCUGUCACUUAUAGAUGGAUCCGCGCCGCAUUAGCUAGUUGGUAAGGUAACGGCUUACCAAGGCAACGAUGCGUAGCCGACCUGAGAGGGUGAUCGGCCACACUGGAACUGAGACACGGUCCAGACCCCUACGGGAGGCAGCAGAAGGGAAUCUUCCGCCAUGGGCGCACGCCUGACG
RNAcentral lists this ribosomal RNA (399 nucleotides) under Staphylococcus epidermidis. Its description in RNAcentral is "bacterial SSU rRNA". It matches the Rfam family "Bacterial small subunit ribosomal RNA", at positions 1 to 388 of the family's 1533-position model. Lineage: Bacteria; Bacillati; Bacillota; Bacilli; Caryophanales; Staphylococcaceae. The record is from RNAcentral.